RNAcentral lists this ribosomal RNA (381 nucleotides) under Enterococcus faecium. RNAcentral's name for it is "partial 23S ribosomal RNA". It matches the Rfam family "Bacterial large subunit ribosomal RNA", at positions 153 to 535 of the family's 2925-position model. Lineage: Bacteria; Bacillati; Bacillota; Bacilli; Lactobacillales; Enterococcaceae. The record is from RNAcentral.
AUUGUGUGAAUACAUAGCACAUUCGAGGUAGACGCAGAGAACUGAAACAUCUAAGUACCUGCAGGAAGAGAAAGAAAAUUCGAUUCCCUGAGUAGCGGCGAGCGAAACGGGAAAAGCCCAAACCAGCAAGCUUGCUUGUUGGGGUUGUAGGACUCCAAUAUGGUAGUUCUUUCAGAUAGUCGAAUGACUUGGAAAAGUCAGUCAAAGAGGGUAAAAACCCCGUAGACGAAAUGUGGAAGACACCUAGGAGGAUCCUGAGUACGGCGGAACACGAGAAAUUCCGUCGGAAUCCGGGAGGACCAUCUCCCAAGGCUAAAUACUCCCUAGUGACCGAUAGUGAACCAGUACCGUGAGGGAAAGGUGAAAAGCACCCCGGAAGGG